UUUGCCGUCCGCUAGCAGACGGCAAAGCUCUUUGCCGUCUGCUAGCGGACGGCAAAGAGGCUAUAUAUCCCCUGUUUUUAUUUAAAUCCAUUUAAUUAGACAUGGUUUCAAACA
Molecule: non-coding RNA, 114 nt
Organism: Triticum aestivum (bread wheat)
Lineage: Eukaryota; Viridiplantae; Streptophyta; Magnoliopsida; Poales; Poaceae
Source: Rfam